AAAUGCAGAGCCGUAUGCAAUUAGAUGACCGAGAAGCCAACUACAACGCAAAACCGAUAGAAAAAAUGCAGAAUCACACCGCAACUGUGGUUAUUUUACGGUAAACAACUAAAAACAAAGGAACCGUCACCGCAAAGACUAUUCUACCCGCCCCAAAACCCAGAAGAACAUUACAGCUGAAAACUUACCAACAAAACAACAAAACUAAAAUUAGUGCAACUCAAUAGAACCAAUAUCGCCGACAACAAGCAAACCACUGGCAACGAGUGAACCCGUAAUAAAGGCGAUUAAACCGCAUCGCGCCCAUGUUUAACGGUGGCCAAUACUGAUCAGUUAGUCAUUAACCCAGAACUUACAUCCUCAGGCGACCAAACCGUUGGUUGGAUCGCGCCCAUUUUUAACGGCAGCCGACACAGAUCAUUAAGCCAUUAACCCAGAAUGUGCAUCCUCGAUCCCAGCCGGACCUGCAAAAAAACAAAUAAAACAGACAAUUCUUUUUUGGCGACUCCCCACUUCCAGCUUCUGUUUUCAACAUCCUGAUCAUCGGACGCAUUAACAGCCACGCCUGCAACAACAAACAAAACACAGGUCCCUAACACCAGACAUGGUUCACAGCCCGGACAUGAAAGCCGAUCGAACCGGACCGGGAAGGGGAUAAACGAAGGAGGAAUACCGGAAUCGAUUGGAACAAAAACAGGUUAGGGACAGAGAGGGUUCCGAUAGGACAGGGAGGGGGAAAUCGGCAAGGGGAGGGGUGAUCGGUGUUGGGUACACCCAAGUGGGGUGGGUGUGAUUGUAGGGGAUAAAACCCCUUGGCUUUUCUCCCCUUUGGAUAGACUGCCUUUAGGCAGUGUGUAUGCUCUUAGAGACGUGAGAGUGAGAGCAAAGGGAGAGUGAGCCGGUUUGUGGCUCCCCCGUCCGGGAGAGCGGUGCUCCUCGGAGAUGCUUGGAUAUUCCGUCGGAGAGCCACCGGAGUGAGGGAGAGAGAGAGGAGUGGGGAAGCCAGCUUGUGGCUGUCCCGGUGAGGUUUUUCAUACUUGUAUAUGUGAUUUAUACACAGUGGACUUUUCCUAGGAUAUCUCUUUUUUGUGCUUGGUUUAUUUUCGUGCUUGUGCUUGGAGGUGUGAAUCGGGGUUGGGGUCUUGACCCAACAAUCGGAACAGGAAGACAACCGAAAGGAGGAACCCGGUUACACGACGGGGAGGGAAAGUAGGAAUCGGGGAGGCGAGCAACCGGGGAGGAGAGUCUGAACUGUGAAUGAGUCCGAGCUUAUAGAAGAAAGAGCAGAUAACAGGUGGAGCCUGCCCGGUGGAGGGUGUCGAGUGGAGCUGCAAAGGAGGGCCUGUGGCGAGCUGAGCUGAGGAUGCUACGGUGGAAAGGGCUGUUACCCGACGCCAAAGGGGAACCGAUCACCGGAGGCGGACUAUAGAAGGAUGCUUAUUCAUGGAGGGGAGGGGCGGGCGGCGACGGAGUGCGGCUGGGGAGAGAGCGGCAGCCCCCUCCCCAAAAAAACCUAAACAAAGUUUGGCUUUCUGUGUACGCGACUUUUUCUAGAGAGAGAGAGAGAGUUGAAAGAAUAUUUUGUCUUUGUAUUGCCAAGGAAAUUAGGAAUAUCUUUUUCUAUUUUUUUUGAAUAUUUUUGACAACUUUGUAUGAUUUUUUUUUAACAAACAGAAUUAUUUUGUGCUCCAAAUGCAAUGCUUCUCCCUCUCACAAAAGUGUGUGGGACCGACUUUACAAAAUGUGAACCAUACGCACUUUUG
Rhododendron vialii is the source of this 1763-nucleotide long non-coding RNA. RefSeq lists it as uncharacterized. The record is from RefSeq and is a predicted model, not a curated record. Lineage: Eukaryota; Viridiplantae; Streptophyta; Magnoliopsida; Ericales; Ericaceae. The transcript has 2 exons.